RNAcentral lists this ribosomal RNA (253 nucleotides) under uncultured bacterium. RNAcentral's name for it is "partial 16S ribosomal RNA". It matches the Rfam family "Bacterial small subunit ribosomal RNA", at positions 524 to 776 of the family's 1533-position model. The record is from RNAcentral.
GACGGACCACACGAACGUUAUUCGGAAUUACUGGGCUUAAAGGGUGCGUAGGCGGUGCAGUAAGUUGGGUGUGAAAUCCCUCGGCUUAACCGAGGAAUUGCGCCCAAAACUACUGUGCUUGAGAAAGAUAGAGGUAAGCGGAACUUAGGGUGGAGCGGUGAAAUGCGUAGAUAUACGGAGGAAUACCUGAGGCGAAGGCGGGUUGCUGGGCCAACACUGACGCUGAGGCGCGAAAGCCAGGGGAGCAAACGGG